RNAcentral lists this unclassified non-coding RNA (87 nucleotides) under Pseudomonas fragi. The record is from RNAcentral. Lineage: Bacteria; Pseudomonadati; Pseudomonadota; Gammaproteobacteria; Pseudomonadales; Pseudomonadaceae.
UGUGGGAGCGGGCUUGCUCGCGAUGCGGGCGGCAGGUUUUACCUGUAAGACCAUGCUGGGGCAAUCGCGAGCAAGCCCGCUCCCACA